This 629-nucleotide ribosomal RNA is filed under the name uncultured bacterium. RNAcentral describes it as "bacterial SSU rRNA". It matches the Rfam family "Bacterial small subunit ribosomal RNA", at positions 202 to 831 of the family's 1533-position model. The record is from RNAcentral.
AAAAGAUUCAUCGCUGAUAGAUAGGCAUGCGUUCCAUUAGGCAGUUGGCGGGGUAACGGCCCACCAAACCGACGAUGGAUAGGGGUUCUGAGAGGAAGGUCCCCCACAUUGGUACUGAGACACGGACCAAACUCCUACGGGAGGCAGCAGUGAGGAAUAUUGGUCAAUGGGCGUAAGCCUGAACCAGCCAAGUCGCGUGAGGGAUGAAGGUUCUAUGGAUCGUAAACCUCUUUUAUAAGGGAAUAAAGUGCGGGACGUGUCCCGUUUUGUAUGUACCUUAUGAAUAAGGAUCGGCUAACUCCGUGCCAGCAGCCGCGGUAAUACGGAGGAUCCGAGCGUUAUCCGGAUUUAUUGGGUUUAAAGGGUGCGUAGGCGGCCUUUUAAGUCAGCGGUGAAAGUCUGUGGCUCAACCAUAGAAUUGCCGUUGAAACUGGGAGGCUUGAGUAUGUUUGAGGCAGGCGGAAUGCGUGGUGUAGCGGUGAAAUGCUUAGAUAUCACGCAGAACCCCGAUUGCGAAGGCAGCCUGCCAAGCCAUGACUGACGCUGAUGCACGAAAGCGUGGGGAUCAAACAGGAUUAGAUACCCUGGUAGUCCACGCAGUAAACGAUGAUCACUAGCUGUUUGCGAUA